GGGGGGGCAAGCGUUGUUCGGAAUUACUGGGCGUAAAGGGCUCGUAGGCGGCCAACUAAGUCAGACGUGAAAUCCCCAGGCUCAACCUGGGAACUGCGUCUGAUACUGGUUGGCUUGAAUUCGGGAGAGGGAUGCAGAAUUCCAGGUGUAGCGGUGAAAUGCGUAGAUAUCUGGAGGAAUACCGGUGGCGAAGGCGGCAUCCUGGACCGACAUUGACGCUGAGGAGCGAAAGCUAGGGGAGCAAACGGGAUUAGAUACCCCGGUAGUCCUAGCCCUAAACGAUGAAUGCUUGGUGUGACGGGUAUCGAUCCCUGUCGUGCCGAAGCUAACGCAUUAAGCAUUCCGCCUGGGGAGUACGGUCGCGAGGCUG
This 370-nucleotide ribosomal RNA is filed under the name uncultured organism. Its description in RNAcentral is "bacterial SSU rRNA". It matches the Rfam family "Bacterial small subunit ribosomal RNA", at positions 528 to 896 of the family's 1533-position model. The record is from RNAcentral.